RNAcentral lists this microRNA precursor (79 nucleotides) under Mesocricetus auratus (golden hamster). Its description in RNAcentral is "mir-3473 microRNA precursor family". It matches the Rfam family "mir-3473 microRNA precursor family". The record is from Rfam by way of RNAcentral. Lineage: Eukaryota; Metazoa; Chordata; Mammalia; Rodentia; Cricetidae.
ACUUCUGAGCCAUCUCUCCAGCUCCCGUAAAUCUUUAUAAAAACAAAUGCAAACAGGGCUGGAGAGAUGGCUCAGAGGU